Nilaparvata lugens (brown planthopper) is the source of this 120-nucleotide small nuclear RNA. RefSeq annotates it as U5 spliceosomal RNA. The record is from RefSeq and is a predicted model, not a curated record. The transcript has a single exon. Lineage: Eukaryota; Metazoa; Arthropoda; Insecta; Hemiptera; Delphacidae.
AAAGCUCUGAUCCACUUCAAACUGGAAUAAGUCUUUCGCAUUUUAGUAAAGGUUUCCGUGGAGUGGAGCACAUGAUUGAUUUGCUGCCUUUAUUUAAUACCUAGGAGAACGAAGCUAGGG